GCUAUAGUGGGGCGAGCAGCCGCGGUAGCACAGAGUGUUGGAGAGUAAUUCGGAAUUAUGAGUCUGCAAGUUGUCAGGGGUGGUGUAGGAAGAUGGGGGUGAAAUCCCUGGGGUUAACUUGUGAACGGCUUUCAGAUCGGCGGAGCGAGAGUACGGGAGAGGGUAGUGGAAGUUCCUGUGUAGCGGUGAAAUGCGGAGAUAUAGGAAGGAACACCAGUGGCGAAGGCGACUACCUGGACUGAUACUGACACUGAGGGGCGAAAGCGUGGGGAGCAAACAGGAUUAGAUACCGAGUAUC
Molecule: ribosomal RNA, 298 nt
Filed under: uncultured Alicyclobacillus sp.
Lineage: Bacteria; Bacillati; Bacillota; Bacilli; Caryophanales; Alicyclobacillaceae
Description: partial 16S ribosomal RNA
Rfam family: Bacterial small subunit ribosomal RNA
Source: RNAcentral